GACUCAAGCUAGAAAACGUAAACAGAACGUGUUUAGGGGGAGGACUGACGCAAUUCUUUCUGUACUACAUAUACUCCCUUAUUCUCGGUCUUGAACAACUGACAGCAAUGGGGGAUGCAGACGAUUUUUCAUCCUCAAAGUUAGGCACCAAAGAACACUGGGAAUCUACAUAUGAACUAGAACUGUCAAACUUUACAAACCAUGGAGAUAUUGGAGACAUUUGGUUUGGUGAAGACAGCAUGCAGCGUGUGGUGGACUGGGUCCUGGAAUCGGACAAUGUGAAGGAGAAUUUCUCCAUUCUUGAUAUUGGGUGUGGGAAUGGUGCUUUCCUGCUAUGUCUUGCCAGUGAAGGCUUUAAUAAUCUGUUUGGGAUUGAUUAUUGUGGUACUGCUAUAAAGCUAGCAGAAGCCAUAGCAAAUAGCAAGAAAGCAGACAUCAAAUAUGAGACUGUAGAUUUGCUGGCAGAACACAAAAAAAGUGAAUUAACAGGAAGGAAGUAUGACGUCACCCAUGAUAAGGGUACAUAUGAUACCAUUUCCUUAAUGCCAGAAGAUGCUGAGACCAAGAGACAGCAGUACAUCAAGGAGGUUUACAAACUAACCAAAGACCAAGGUUUAUUCAUUAUCACCUCCUGCAACUGGACUGAAGAAGAGCUUAUUUCUCAUGUAUCAGAUUAACUGUUCAGAAGGGAGAAGGUUGAAUGAUUUAGGAAGAAAUUGAAGUUUGAGACCUGCAGGCCAAGAACUCCUUGUAGGGUAGGGUAUAGGGAGACAUUUUGCUGAAGCAUAUGUCACAGAUUUCAGUGUGGAUGAAGUGAUCCCAACACCUACAUUUUCAUUUGGCGGAAAGGUUGGAUCUGUUGUUACUUCUAUAGUUUUCAAGAAGGUUGUCAGUUAAAGUUCAUUCCAUUCAUGUUGGAGACACAUCAGUAAAGUCUGAUUUUUGUUUUAUAUGAGU
This is an RNA transcript of Penaeus chinensis, 957 nucleotides long. It is a transcript of the gene named EEF1A lysine methyltransferase 2-like, with no coding region annotated. Lineage: Eukaryota; Metazoa; Arthropoda; Malacostraca; Decapoda; Penaeidae. The record is from RefSeq and is a predicted model, not a curated record. The transcript is spliced from 6 exons.